Chelonia mydas (Green sea turtle) is the source of this 261-nucleotide long non-coding RNA. RefSeq lists it as uncharacterized. The transcript is spliced from 3 exons. Lineage: Eukaryota; Metazoa; Chordata; Testudines; Cheloniidae. The record is from RefSeq and is a predicted model, not a curated record.
CAACACCCCCCCUCUCCCUCGAGAGUGUCAAUCUCCAGAGUACAUAGAGGUCUUCUGCUUUCAGAUUUAUGCUUUUCCAGCACAUGGGUGACUAAUGGCAUAUGUUGUUUCCAGAAGUGACAAGAAGCGGACCUGCUGUCAGGAGCAAUCACACUCAGAGGCUGCAGGAGGACUCACAAAAGCUAGAGAAAAGGUUUGUUGGGAUCCUAUUCCCCAUCUGCAUGGCCAGCAACCCCAGCCCCUGGAUAGAUCUAAUAGAUU